GACGAACGCUGGCGGCGUGCUUAACACAUGCAAGUCGAACGAAGAGCGAUGGAAGCUUGCUUCUAUCAAUCUUAGUGGCGAACGGGUGAGUAACGCGUAAUCAACCUGCCCUUCAGAGGGGGACAACAGUUGGAAACGACUGCUAAUACCGCAUACGAUCUAAACUCGGCAUCGAGGAUAGAUGAAAGGUGGCCUCUACAUGUAAGCUAUCACUGAAGGAGGGGAUUGCGUCUGAUUAGCUAGUUGGAGGGGUAACGGCCCACCAAGGCGAUGAUCAGUAGCCGGUCUGGGAGGAUGAACGGCCACAAUGGGACUGAGACACGGCCCAGACUUCUACGGGAGGCAGCAGGGGGGAAUCAUUCGCAAUGGACGGAAGUCUGACGGAGCAACGCCGCGGGAGGGAUGGCGGCCUUCGGGUUGGAAAGCUCUGUUAAUCGGGACGAAAGGCCUUCUUGCGAAUAGUGAGAAGGAUUGACGGUACCGGAAUAGAAAGCCACGGCUAACUACGUG
This 510-nucleotide ribosomal RNA is filed under the name uncultured bacterium. RNAcentral describes it as "partial 16S ribosomal RNA". It matches the Rfam family "Bacterial small subunit ribosomal RNA", at positions 28 to 507 of the family's 1533-position model. The record is from RNAcentral.